Molecule: ribosomal RNA, 253 nt
Filed under: uncultured bacterium
Lineage: Bacteria
Description: partial 16S ribosomal RNA
Rfam family: Bacterial small subunit ribosomal RNA
Source: RNAcentral
UACAGAGGUCUCAAGCGUUGUUCGGAUUCAUUGGGCGUAAAGGGUGCGUAGGUGGCGGGGUAAGUCAGGUGUGAAAUCUCGGGGCUCAACCCCGAAACUGCACUUGAUACUGCCUUGCUCGAGUACUGGAGAGGAGAUUGGAAUUUACGGUGUAGCAGUGAAAUGCGUAGAUAUCGUAAGGAAGACCAGUGGCGAAGGCGGCAUCCUGGACCGGUAUUGACGCUGAGGCGCGAAAGCCAGGGGAGCAAACGGG